Metopolophium dirhodum (rose-grain aphid) is the source of this 576-nucleotide long non-coding RNA. RefSeq lists it as uncharacterized. The transcript is spliced from 2 exons. The record is from RefSeq and is a predicted model, not a curated record. NCBI's taxonomy places the organism in Eukaryota, Metazoa, Arthropoda, Insecta, Hemiptera, Aphididae.
GGUUAAGUAGUUACAUCUUAAGAUCAUUAUACAAUGAUUGUAAAAUAUGAUCUAAGAGUUACAUAGAAUGUAAAUAUUAUGUUCUAUAAUAUUAUUAUACUAUCUAUAGCCGUGGUGUGUUGAAAUCGCCGCCGCCGUGCCCGACAUCCCGUAGCUCGGUGAUUCGUUUCUCGACCGUUGACCGUUGUUUUAUCACGUAUAAUAAAAACGAAUUUUUAACCACGGUUUGUUUUGAAUUUUUUGCAAUGUUGGAUACUGCCGCACCAUUCACGUCUGAUUCACGGUUCUCCACUUACAUCAUUUAAAAAGAACCCAUGUGGGAAGUUCAUUGAAAGGCGACGAAAAGAGAUUAUAAUAAACUUAUAGAAAUACAAAAUUUCCGAACAACAAUCUAUUUAUGUUAAGAAAAUGGUGAAAUUGCUAUCCAAAGAAACGGGUAUUGGCCAGAAAACGAUCCAAACGACAAUUUCCAACUACAAGAACGCUAAACCAAUUCUAUCACCGAACAGAAAGAUGGUCGGGCUGACGUUUAAAGACAAAGUCGACGAUUUCGAACGGAAUGCAAUACGUAAAAAG